CUUAGCAUUCAAAACUUGCGAAUUUUGAAAAAAACAAAUUUGCUGAUUAAAUACGGACAACCGUUUAACUGAAUUAAAACGGGUGUUCCCUUUGCUUUGGAUGUCUGUCUAGUUCAGUUCAGCCACAUUCCGCUACAGUUCGCCUUUAUUAUCAGUUCGAAAUGGGGUGGUUCCAUAAUACCCGCAGUGUUCCAUAAUACCACCUUCUCCUCUAAUGAAUGAAUGAAUGAAUGGUUUCUCAUAUCUUUCAUUGACUGUACAGUACAUAUAAAAAGAUUUUUGUUUUUUAAACUAUAGAUAUACAUAGUCAUAUAACUCUGUUUUAUUAACAUAUUAUAAAAUUCUUUAUACUUUCUCAGUUUCCAGAGAGGAGGAACACCAUAUUUUCAUUUUCUUUUUGUAUUCAUUAUGAAGUAAUCCUAAUAACAAAGUUUUUUUUUUGCUAGUAGUAAACAUUGUAUUCAAACCAUUUUGAUUUUUACUUCCAUACAGUUCAAUAAUUCACACUUCUCUGUGAUGAGAUCUACAUAAAUAUGUGACAUGAUUAUCUCCAUGCACUUUCUCUCGUUGGUGUAGUCCUACUAUACUUAAUGAGAGUGACAAAUGUCAUCACCUCUUCUUGUCAUAUAUUCUUGCUCACUCGCUCUCUCGCAUGCAUGCACAUUGCUUGGCAAAUUCACUUGCUCAUGUCAGCAUAGUCACCUUUACUCCUUGUCAUUGUUGACUUUUCUGUUCAUCAAAUUGUGUUUGCUUAUGCCUCUCUGACCAGAAUGACUCCUCUCUAAUCUGUAGAAUUCAAAGCUCUCUACUCUUUAGAAUCAAAGCUGAUAGUUUGUCGGGAAGAAGUAGAGAGCUUUAACUUAUCUAUUAAACUCUGAGAACUGAACUUUGUGGACUUUUAUCAACUUGGCAAUAAACUGAGGAUCAUAAUUGUGUGAAGUAAACAGCCAUGAUAAGAAACAGAGCAAGCCCAAGUUUCACUUUCUCUGUGCCAAUAAAACAGAAAUUGAAUGAAGAAAUAAG
Molecule: long non-coding RNA, 1023 nt
Organism: Centruroides sculpturatus (bark scorpion)
Lineage: Eukaryota; Metazoa; Arthropoda; Arachnida; Scorpiones; Buthidae
Exons: 3
Source: RefSeq, a predicted model, not a curated record